Molecule: long non-coding RNA, 96 nt
Organism: Xenia sp. Carnegie-2017
Lineage: Eukaryota; Metazoa; Cnidaria; Anthozoa; Malacalcyonacea; Xeniidae
Exons: 3
Source: RefSeq, a predicted model, not a curated record
UCCAACUUUGUCAAAUUUUGCAGGCAACGACCUACUUGUGCUAUUUAUUAAUUUUAAUUUAGCGAAUCGUAUGACGUUCUAGCCCAUGUACGCUGC